Molecule: ribosomal RNA, 254 nt
Filed under: uncultured bacterium
Lineage: Bacteria
Description: partial 16S ribosomal RNA
Rfam family: Bacterial small subunit ribosomal RNA
Source: RNAcentral
UACGGGGGGAGCAAGCGUUGUUCGGAUUUACUGGGCGUAAAGGGCGCGUAGGCGGUCAGCACAAGUCAGUUGUGAAAUCUCCGGGCUUAACUCGGAAAGGUCAACUGAUACUGUGCGACUAGAGUGCAGAAGGGGCAACUGGAAUUCUCGGUGUAGCGGUGAAAUGCGUAGAUAUCGAGAGGAACACCUGCGGCGAAGGCGGGUUGCUGGGCUGACACUGACACUGAGAGACGAAAGCUAGGGGAGCAAAUGGG